UAAUACGGGGGGAGCAAGCGUUGUUCGGAUUUACUGGGCGUAAAGGGCGCGUAGGCGGCCAGCGCAAGUCAGUUGUGAAAUCUCCGGGCUUAACUCGGAAAGGUCAACUGAUACUGCGCGGCUAGAGUGCAGAAGGGGCAACUGGAAUUCUCGGUGUAGCGGUGAAAUGCGUAGAUAUCGAGAGGAACACCUGCGGCGAAGGCGGGUUGCUGGGCUGACACUGACGCUGAGGCGCGAAAGCCAGGGGAGCGAACGGGAUUAGAUACCCCGGUAGUCCUGGCCUUAAACGAUGGAUGCUUGGUGUCUGGAGUUCUAUAGUCUCCGGGUGCCGUAGCUAACGCGUUAAGCAUCCCGCCUGGGGAGUACGGUCGCAAGACU
This 378-nucleotide ribosomal RNA is filed under the name uncultured bacterium. RNAcentral describes it as "bacterial SSU rRNA". It matches the Rfam family "Bacterial small subunit ribosomal RNA", at positions 521 to 895 of the family's 1533-position model. The record is from RNAcentral.